Molecule: long non-coding RNA, 4394 nt
Organism: Pogoniulus pusillus (Red-fronted tinkerbird)
Lineage: Eukaryota; Metazoa; Chordata; Aves; Piciformes; Lybiidae
Exons: 2
Source: RefSeq, a predicted model, not a curated record
UAAUCGGUCCCAGAAGAGGCAGUAGCUCCAAGUUUGCCCAACUGGGCAGAGGAUCUUCCUCCCAUCACCACUGGAGGCUGAGGAUCCUGUGAUCCAGCCUGAGCACUUCUGCAGCACCCCUCUGGCAUCUAUAUGCUUUCCUCCUCAGAGGCCGAGGUCUCCCCAGUCCCAGUCUCAGCACAUUCCUCCUUUUCCUUUUCUCCCGUGUAGUUUUGUUCUCCCUUUGCUCCCUGCCUGAGAUGGGGGAGCUUGCAGCAGCCAGUGCAAGCCCCCUUGGCCACUGCCAGGUGCAAAGCACAGAGAGAGCUCAGCUUGCCCUCACAUCUCCACUUCGGGGCACAGAUAAAUCCGCGGAGUUGCCAGUCAGCAAACGCCAGCUUCUCGCUCGGCACGAGCGACCCAGGAGCUUCAGAAGCUUAAAAUAUUGCACAACUUGGAAGAAAUUAUCACUGGGAAAAUUGCUGCAGCACCCCGGGGAAAUUCAGCUCUCUGCCACAGAGGCGGAGGCAUUCAAGCUUCGCCUUGAAGCGGCUGCAAGAAUUUCUCAAGUUGGCCAUCUUCGUUUUCCAGGACCUCAUUCGGCACGUUGGCUGCAAUCUGCCUAGCCUGGGUUCUGCCUCCAGCUUGCCUUAGUUCUGAAAACUCCAGCUAAAUGCUGACAUGGUUUAUAAGGAAUUAAGGGAAGAUGUUAAAAUGGAAAGAGUUGGGCAAGCCCAGAUAGCUUUGGAGUGCAUGGCACAGCGAGAUCCUCCUCAGUGGGGACUAGGCUCCCUUGUACUGCUAGGCAUGGCACAGAUGGGAUACGGGCACAGCAGGAUGCUCCUGUCCCAGCUCUGACCAAGCACAGCAAAUAACGGGGUGCAGUACUCCCAAAUCUGCUCCCCAGUGCAUUGUUCUGCAGGGAUGUGCUGGGCAGCAGCUAAAGGGGACCUUUCCAGCUCACCACUGUGUCCAGAUCCCUUUCACAUUCAGGCUUCAGCCCUCAGAGGAUGAAUUGCACCACAUCACUGAGCCCAUGGCAAGGUCCCCCUCUGCUCUUCCCUCGCAAAGAAUGAAAUAACCUGGAAGUUGUUGGUUUCUGGAAGCAAUUUAGCGUGGGACGUGGCUAUUAAUUUAAAUAGAUUACAGAAAUUUGAACUAAGCUGUGUAUAAAUCUUCUGACCAGCUCUUUGGGCUUUGGUCUCUGUUGUUUACACUUUAUAUUUUUUUCUUUUAAGAACCAAAACCUGUGCUUUAUUGAUUCCUGAAGCAGUGAUUUUUAGGUGGGAGCUCGCUGCUGCCUUUCUGGGCGUGCAUGGCAGGGCAGCUUUUCUCUUCCACACGUAUCACCUUUCAGAGCUACUGUGAGUAGGGUGCAGAUGUUGUUAGGUCUCAGGUAAAGCCAUCAAAGGUGGACAUUCAAUCAAAUUUGACAUCAUCUUCAACCUGAAGGCAAAUGGGUUGGUUUUGAUUAGCAGCUCAUGGGGCUGAGCCUAACCCAUAUCAGAGCUGCUGUUGCUACUUUACCUGAAUGGCAAAACCACAGAUGGUAAUUAUAAUGAUAAGUGCUUACAGAUUUCCCAACAACAAAGAUAAUUUGUUUGCUCCAUGCCUUGUUAGAAGAGGAAUUUUGUUCUGGUGACUGGGUGGUUUGUGAAUCAGUUGUUGCCCUUUCACCCCUCCAUCCCCAGCUUGGCUGUUCCCCCCAGCACAGCUAUUAGACAUUGAUCCAACAAGAAGGGUCCUGCCGAGUCUGGUCUCCUCCACAGUGGCCAUCGAGACGCCAGCCCAGUGAAAGGAGCCAUCCUGGUCUGGCAGGGAGGAGGAUGCUGUUCUAGAAUGGCUUGGAAUGUUGGGCAGGGGAGUCCUCCUAAGUCCCUCAGCUCCUAACCCCUGCUCAUGCGCACAGCUUCUGGGGUGAAAACUUGCCGCAAGGCUGCCUUUGAGUUGCUGGACUGCUGCUGCUGAUGCACAGCAGGGUAAAACUCAGCCGUGUUCCCAGUGCCCAAGCCAUCAUCUCGCUGAGGGAUGAUGAGGUAACAUGUGAGUGGCCAGGUUUGCACCUCUUGCUCCUGGAGCCACUGCCAAAACCUGCAGCUUUCCUCCCACUGAAGGUGACUGAGUGGCCAAAGUCCUGGGAGGAAAAAGGGAGAGCUUGUCACUGCUGCUCUCUGACAGCCCGAGGUCUCUCUCCACCCCGCAGUUGCUCUCCAGCACUGGAGGUGGGUUACCUGUAAAUUAAACCAGCUGGUGCCAGGGGCUGAGGGCUCACCAGCAACCCUGGCCCUUGUCCACAGCCUUCCCCCAGGCAGAAAUCCCACAGGCCGUCUUGGACCCCGGCUUGGCUGCAACUGAGAGCAGCAUCUUGCUUGUCCUGUGGGCAGGCAGAUAACAGCUUUGAUUUCUGGGUCUCAUUUUAAUUACAAUGGGAAGACAAAGCUCGUUUAAGUGCCCGCUUUGCCUUCCAGUGAUCCUUCCUGGCUGGCAAGUGCACUGGGCUAACAAAAGCAUUCCUCUCUCCCCCCCCCCCCACCCCGGGGCCGGCCGCGGCAGCCCGUAUGGCGAGCAGACGGAGGCGAUUAAUGCGCACAAGACCAGCCUGCCCAGCUCCCAGUCUCUGCGCACAACCUGACACCCCAAGCAGCCUCUCUGCAAGGAGAAACUACCCUUGAAACAUAGACGUCCUCCACAAAGCACCCAUACGCCAGCUCAUUUUUGCCUCCCUACCCAGUACCGGCAGAAUACCUGCAGGGUCUUGUCCCAGAGCAUGUUUCUCUUCUCCCACAGCUCAGAUCAGAUGAUUUUUUUCCCGGCCAAUAGUACCCAGAGUUGUUCAAGAAGGUGAUAUCGAUCUUGUUCAUAUUUGUUGCCUUAAUGAGUCACAAAUUCUGUCUGCAAGCAGAGGUGGUUUGGAGGUGCCGGCUGGCUGCUGCUAACCUGCCUUUCUGGAAGGGUAGGAAUUCCAGCAGAUUCGGAGAACUGGUGUUUUCUUAUAUUCCUAAAGGAAAUUACACUAAUUGCAACAAUCCCCAUGUCCCUGCAGAGAGCAGAUGCGAUAGGAUCUCCCCAAAUACCUGCUCCUGAUAACAGUAACCUCCCUACAGCUCUUCUCCUGCCCCACGGCCCUGAAGGAUCUGCAGCGAGUGAUCCUGCCAGACCAAAACGCUUACGGCCCCUUUGACACCAAAUCGUUUCUGUGCUGGUUCAUCUUUUGCUUAACUGAGCUGGCAAAGGCAUCGUCUCCCAUGUGGGCAGGGGACUUGGUGCAUCAGCUGCCGCUGCUCUGAUCUUUGCUGUGGCCAAGAUUUCAUUCUUUGGAAAUGGUUUUAAUAUUCACUACACUAAUAUCCGCGCGCGGGCACGGCGUGCGGGGUCACAGCACAGUGCUGGUGUGGAAUUCAUAUAAAUGCUCCGUGGGGUAUCUCUAAACAAUCAUCCCAUAUUAAUCAGCUUAAUAUUAAUCAGCUUUCUCCUCCACUCAGAUCUAGGAAAGUCCCCUCUCCAGAGGGGGACGUGGUGCUGAUUUAAGGGAUGCAGCCUGCUUCCGGAGCGGUGGAGGGAGCAGGACACUCUGCAUCUCACAUCUCUCAGAUGCUCUUCAAUGGGCUUAAUUUAAACAUUAACUCCCAAUUUGCCUCUGGGCUCAGGGUAUGGAAAAAAUUAGAGCAAAAGGAGAAUUUUUCAAGAAGCUUUGAGUGAACAAAGUAGGGUUAUAAUAGAAAUAGUUUUUGACCUUAAUUAUGGCUUCUAAUGGAAAUGGUUGUGCAACCUCAGCAGUGGGAUUUGGUAUGCGCAGGCAGAUCUGAGCUGAGGAUGAUGAUAGGAGGACAGCAAGGCCUUGGUGGCCUCAGUUGUUCUUUCAUAGAAGGGUUUCAGAGAGCAGGGUUGAGGCUGGUGAGGUGAAUGUUCCUCAUUUCUACCAGCUGCAGCUCUGAUUUGCUCCAUCCAGAGCUAAAGUUUCACCUUGUUUCUGCUUUGGACAAGAAUAUAAAUGGCCUCAAGUACCUCAUCACUGCCAGUGGGAUGUGCAGCUGGGUACCCAGCACCUUUGGACAGAAGAGCAGGGAAAGUCUGUCAUUACUUACUGAGGUCAGCAUGGCAAGUCCCAGCACAAAGUCAGCAUGGCUUGCCCUGCCUCUCUCCUCCAAGGAAGCAGUUCUCUGCUGUAUACAGCAAUACAACAAACUCCAGCACUGCUCUCCAGGGAUAAGCGAUGCUGAUGAGAACUGCUGAAAUACUCUUUUGAAGCAUCCAGAUUGCAAAAUAAUGAUGUGGUGUUAGCCAGAGGUGGGAGUGGGAUGGAAUAAUUACAGAAGAGGAAGCACAUCACUUUUAUUACUGAGUCCAGCCUUCUUGCUCUGGAAACCUGCUAUAAUGGGUCACUUGCCACCACCUGGGAGUAAUGACAUGUGGAA